RNAcentral lists this ribosomal RNA (1248 nucleotides) under uncultured organism. Its description in RNAcentral is "bacterial SSU rRNA". It matches the Rfam family "Bacterial small subunit ribosomal RNA", at positions 202 to 1430 of the family's 1533-position model. The record is from RNAcentral.
CAAAGGUGGGGAUCUUCCGACCUGCCGGUAUUGGAUCGGCCCACGUCCUAUCAGCUUGUUGGUGGGGUAAUGGCCUACCAAGGCGGUGACGGGUAGCCGGCGUGAGAACGCGACCGGCCACAUCGGGACUGAGACACUGCCCGGACACCUACGGGUGGCUGCAGCAACGAAUAUUCCGCAAUGGGCGAAAGCCUGACGGAGCGACGCCGCGUGGAGGAUGAAGUCCCUCGGGAUGUAAACUUCAAUAGUACGUCAGGAACCGCGACGGCUUAAUAGGCCGUCAAGUUGACCAGUGUACGAAAGGGGUGGCUAACUCCGUGCCAGCAGCCGCGGUAAUACGGAGACCCCUAGCGUUGUUCGGAAUUACUGGGCUUAAAGCGGGGGUAGGCGGGACGGUAAGUACUUUGUGAAAGCCCCGGGCUCAACUCGGUGAAUUGCUUAGUAUACUGUCGUCCUUGAGGCACGCAGGGGUCACUGGAACCUUCGUGGAGCGGUGAAAUGCGUAAUAUCUAACGGAACGCCUGUGGCGAAAGCGGGUGACUGGGCCUGUACUGACGCUGAGACCCGAAAGCGUAGGUAGCGAACGGGAUUAGAUACCCCGGUAGUCUACGCCGUAAACGAUGCGCACUAGGUUCGAGAAUUCUGACAAUUUUUGUCCUGUAACAAAAGUGUGAAGUGCGCCGCAUGGGGAGUACGGCCGCAAGGCUAAAACUCAAAGGAAUUGACGGGGGCUCACACAAGCGGUGGAGCAUGUGGAUCAAUUCGAAGCAACGCGAAGAACCCUACCUGGGUUUGACAUGCACGGAUGCCCUCCUUGAAAGGGGAGUAAGCUGCCUUCGGGUGAAACGUGCACAGGUGCUGCAUGGCUGUCGUCAGCUCGUGCUGUGAAGUGUCGGGUUAAGUCCCUUAACGAGCGAAACCCCUGUCGCUAGUUACCAGCGGUUCGGCCGGGAACUCUAGCGAGACUGCCGGCGUUAAGCCGAAGGAAGGUGGGGACGACGUCAAGUCAUCAUGGCCUUUAUGUCCAGGGUUUCACACGUGGUACAAUGGGGCGUCCAGAGCGACGCAAGACCCCGUGGUGGAGCAAAUCGCACAAAGCGUCCCUCAGUUCGGAUUUGGGUCUGCAAUUCGACCCCAUGAAGUUGGAAUCGCUUGUAAUCGAGUAUCAGCAAUGACGCGGUGAACGUGUUCCUGAGCCUUGUACACACCGCCCGUCAAGUCAUGGGAAUCGGGAGUUCCCGAAGUCGC